CCAAUGGGCAUCUAAUGCCAAUAGAGUGGUUGUGCCUUUCCGAUGCAACCAAGCUACUGUAAAUAAUUGAGAACAAUCAACAUCAGAAAAGACACCUGCAUCUCUACAACGAUGGAAGACCAGUAGACUUAAUAUUUGGUGAGGAGAUUUGGGUUCAGGUCUCUUCUAAUUAGUCAUAUACAUCUAAUGUAAUGACUAAUAUAGUUUGGGUUAGCACAUUUCAUAUCUGACCAACC
RNAcentral lists this long non-coding RNA (236 nucleotides) under Elaeis guineensis (African oil palm). Its description in RNAcentral is "long non-coding RNA (EGUI_LNC051927)". Lineage: Eukaryota; Viridiplantae; Streptophyta; Magnoliopsida; Arecales; Arecaceae. The record is from RNAcentral.